AUGGAAGGAUGGGAACAGGGUCAGGUAGCUGACGAGGCACAGAUGAAGGGACACAUGCUCUCUUCGCAGAGAGCCUGCCAGAGACAGAACUCGGAGAGACAAAGGACAAAGGGGAGAGGGGUCGGCAGAGAUCCAGAGAGGGACACAAAGAGAAAAACGGGACAGGGACAGAGGACAAAAACAGAUAAAGGGGCAGAGAAUGUCUGUCGCAACCUGUUAUUCAGGUUACGGAGCUGUGGGCCAAAGGCACAGGAAGAAAGGUCCCACUGCCUUGCACGCUGGCUCCACCCACCCAGGUACACGUAUGGUGGCCCCAGGGCAGUAUGUGGUCACAAGGCUGGAGGGGCAGGAGGGUGGAGGGUGGGAAGGAGGGGAUGGAGUGGAGGGGUGGGUAGGGGGAAGGCGGAGCCCAUUGUCCACCCUCACUGUCUUGAGCCUCUGCCUUUGUCCUGCCUGUCUUUUUGGACCACCCUUUGGAUUUCUGGCUGUGGGUCUGGCCAGGUGCAUAAGUCCCAGACAUGCUUUUCUUUCCCGUGGCAGGCCUUGUCUCCUGCAGGCCCUGUACAGUGCUGAGCACAGAGGGGGUGCUCGAUGAAUAUUUGGGGACUGAAUGAACUGGGUUCUUGCUUAGUCCUGAAGGGUUAGGAUAAUGAAACCACUGUGUAGAGAGGGAAGAGGAAGUUCAGAGAGGGCAAGUGACUUGUCUAAGGCCACACAGCCACUUGCGGGUUUCAUUUCUGAAGGAUUCUCUGAACACUCAGGGAAGGCAGGCUGUGCAUGAGGCAGGGGGUAGGGCUAUGACAAGGCAUGCUCUGGAACAUCCCUGAGCCUUUCUGCUGCUAGUCCCUCUCUGUCUUCUGUCCCUCUUUCUGCCUGGAACACUCCUACUUAUACUUCAGGUCUUAGUAUAGAAGUCACUUCCUCUGGGAGGCCUUUCCUGGCCCUUCAAAUCAUGGUUAAAUGCCCUCCUGUGGUCCUGGAUGAGGGGACACCCAUCAUGGCACCCAGUCUUGUCAAGAGGAGUUGGCCUGUCAGAGCACAGUGAUUUCCUUGCAGUUGGUUCAGAAUGACCCAAUCAAGGCCAGUCGGAGAUUUUCCUGGGACAGAUUUUGGAAACUGAGGAGAGAGAAGCUAUUUUGUCCCUGAUGGCUCUAAGCUGGGCAUCUGUGAGUCUGGGGUUGCUGGAGCCCCUUUCUCAGCUACUCUAACACAUCACCCCCUGCUGUGGGCAAGUCCUGCCAGAAGAUGCAAAUACAGGGCUGAACCUGGGGCUGUGCUUGGGGCUUUGGUCUUGAGAGAAUCAGGGAGGAAAAAGCCUGUGAUAUCAGGAAAGAGGAUGGACUUUGGGUCCGUCAGACAGACCUGGGUUAGUCACUCAGUACCUGUGUGUUUUGGGGCACACCUCUCUGGGCCCUGGCUUCCUCUUACGUAAAUGAGGGUGAUGCCACCUACCUGUCGUGAAAGAGGUGUCAGGAAGGGAGGCAGCCUGUCUAUGAGGGCUUUGCUGGCCUGAUAAUAUGCACCCCACCUCUCCUCCCUGUUGGCAUGCCCCACUCACCCUGCUGCUUCCUGU
Molecule: long non-coding RNA, 1573 nt
Organism: Vulpes vulpes (red fox)
Lineage: Eukaryota; Metazoa; Chordata; Mammalia; Carnivora; Canidae
Source: Ensembl